ACUACUUCUUCGUAUGCGUUGCGUUUUUCAGCAAACAUGUUUAUGGGAUUGAAAUGAGAAUAACCGUUUUAUUAAUAUCGAAGCUCAUACAAGCCUUUUCCUCCACUACUCAUAGAGGGUGUGUAUUGUACAUAGUUGAAACCCCUCCCCCAACGCCAUUGUUUUAAACCACACACGAUAUUACGGAAAAAUUGGUGAGGAUCCCUCAAAGUCACUCAUGUCGGGUGCACCUCUCAUGCAUUCCACUGCUGCACAUCUUUUGCGUGUUUUCUCCGCCUUUUUCAGGACACAAUGAUUAACCUUCAGUGGUACAUUUUGUCUUCUUAAAACCGCAAUAGCUCCGAGGAGGUUUCUGACCUUAGCAUGCUCUCUUGCAAGUUCCAAUUUCAAUGCGCCACUGUUGAGCUGUUAUAUUCCAUAUUUCAAAGCAAAAACUUGAAAGUCACAAGCAACCAAGUAGACUUUCACACAGGCUUUGAAGUUUAGGUUAUUAUGCCCCCCUUCGAAGAAGAGGGGGUAUAUUGCUUUGCUCAUGUCGGUCGGUCGGUCGGUCCGUCCACCAGGUGGUUUUCGGAUGAUAACUCAAGAACGCUUGGGGCUAGGAUCAUGAAACUUCAUAGGUACAUUGAUCAUGACUCGCAGAUGAACCCUAUUGAUUUUGAGGUCACUAGGUCAAAGGUCAAGGUCACGGUGACCCGAAAUAGUAAAAUGGUUUUUGAAUGAUAACUCAAGAACGCAUAUGCCUAGGAUCAUGAAACUUCAUGGGUAGAUUGAUCAUGACUUGCAGAUGACCCCUAUUGAUUUUGAGGUCACUAGGUCAAAGGUCAAGGUCACGGUGACCCGAAAUAGUAAAAUGGUUUUCGGAUGAUAACUCGAGAACGCAUACGCCUAGGAUCAUGAAACUUCAUAGGUAGAUUGAUCAUGACUUGCAGAUGACCCCUAUUGAUUUUGAGGUCACAAGGUCAAAGGUCAAGGUCACGGUGACCCGAAAUAGUAAAAUGAUUUUCGGAUGAUAACUCAAGAACGCUUUUGCCUAGGAUCAUGACACUUCAUAGGUACAUUGAUCGUGACUCGCAGAUGACCCCUAUUGAUUUUCAGGUCACUAGGUCAAAGGUCAAGGUAACAGUGACAAAAAUCGUAUUCACACAAUGGAUGCGUCUACAACGGACAGCCCAUAUGGGGGGCAUGCAUGUUUUACAAACAGCCCUUGUUGUUAAAUAAAUCAAAGUGGUGCAGUAGGCAGCAUUGUGUUUCUGACAAACACAUUGUGGUAAAAGGUCAAGGUCAUUCUUUACGGUCUACGGUAAAAAAUACAGAUUUAAGGGAAGUAAUAAGCUUUCAAAAGGGAGAAAAUUAUUCAAUAUUGAACAUAGCCACUUUAUAUAUUUGGCAUGCAUGUGUAUCUCAUGGAGCUGCACAUUUUGAGUGGUGAAUCUACAGUCACGGUAGUGGCUUUUAAUUAUUUGCUACUAAAAAUAGAGAUUUGUUACAGACAAUUAUUUUCAAGGGAAGUAAUUUAUAUAAUUAUAAAUCUCAUAUUAUAUAUUUCCUUACCAAGAAUUGAAGUUCUUUUCACAGUAACUGUACAGAUUUAUUAUUUUGAUUAUUAUGCCCCCCUUCGAAGAAGAGGGGGUAUAUUGUUUUGCUCAUGUUGGUCGGUCGGUCGGUCUGUCCACCAGAUGGUUUCUGGAGGAUAACUCAAGCAUGCUUACGCCUAGGAUCAUGAAUUUUUAUAGGUACAUUGAUCAUGACAAGCAGAUGACCCCUAUUGAUUUUCAGGUCACUAGGUCAAAGGUCAAUUUCACAGUGACUCGAAACAGUAAAAUGGUUUCCGGAUGAUACCUCAAGAACGCUUAUGCCUAGGAUCAUGAAACUUCAUAGGUACAUUGAUCAUGACCCGCAGAUGACCCCUAUUGAUUUUCAGGUCACUAGGUCAAAGGUCAAGGUCACAGUGAAUCUAAAUAGUAAAAUGGUUUCUGGAUGAUAACUCAAGAAUACUUACGCUUAGGAUCAUGAAAAUUCAUAGGUUCAUUGAUCACGACUGGCAGAUGACCCCUAUUAAUUUUCAGGUCACUAGGUCAAAGGUAAAGGUCACAGUGACUUGAAACAGUAAAAUCGUUUCCUGAUGAUAACUCAAGAAUAAUUAGGCCUAGGAUAAUGAAACUUCAUAGGUACAUUGAUCAUGACUGGCAGAUGACCCCUAUUGAUUUUCAGGUCACUAGGUCAAAGGUCAAGGUCACAGUGACAGAAAAGCGAUUCACACAAUGGCUGCCACUGCAACUGACAGCCCAUAUGGGGGGCAUGCAUGUUUUACAAACAGCCCUUGUCAUUGUAGAAUCUAUAAAUAAACAUAGACUUUAUAUAAUAUCAGUUAUUGCUAUGGCUUUAAAUAAUAUCAAUUAUUGCCAUUACUUUGUUGUAAUUUGGUGAAUAUAAUCAUCUGUUGUAUUUUACUAUAUCAGCAAUAAACUAUGUUUCUAAAAUUGUUAAAGUAGUUUUUAUUAUAGCAGAAAAUGUAUAAAUGUAAACACUUAUCGCAUAUGCAUAGAACAUCUCUGCAGAUUCAUCCUAAAUUAAUUAUUAAAAAAAAACACAUUGUAUAUAUAUAUAUAUUAUAUAUAUCAAGUUUAUAUAAAGAAAACCUUCGAUUUGAUAUAAAGAAAACCUUCGAUUUGAUAAAAGCAAAACACUUACAUCCGAAAUCAAUUCGAAAUGCGAUGCUUCUGCAGGCGCACCAGCUUCGACAGGUGUUGGUGCUUGCGUUGAUGGUGGUAAUAGCGCUGGUGUUGAUGGUGGUAAUAGCGCUGAUGGCACUGGUGAUGAAGGUGGUAAUUGCACUGGUGGUGCUGGUGUUGAUGAUGAGUCCUAAAAUUAGAAUAAACACAAUGUUCAUGUUAAAUAUUAAACUUGUAAUAUGAAUUAAUUUUAUUUUAAUUAUAUUUUAUUUUAAACAAAUACAAGAAAGAACCAAUAUACAUAUAUAACUUACCCCAUGCCACAAGGCAUUGUACCCUUGUAUGUGGGGUACUAAUCCCAUUAAUGCUUCCACUUUGUGGAUGCUCAGAGAAACAAAUUUACUCUUUUUAUUAUCAACAAUGUGCACAUACGUACCCCCCCCCCCUCCCCAA
This is a long non-coding RNA of Dreissena polymorpha, 3128 nucleotides long. RefSeq lists it as uncharacterized. The record is from RefSeq and is a predicted model, not a curated record. The transcript has 4 exons. Lineage: Eukaryota; Metazoa; Mollusca; Bivalvia; Myida; Dreissenidae.